GAGGCAGAGCCACGGCCAGCAUUAGGAUGGCUUCAGGUCCCAUGAAGGCUCCAUGCAAACAAAUUAUUUCUGAGGAUGAGAAGAUGGGAGGUUGAAAUCUACUUAACAAAACAGGAAGCAACCUCAAUGUUAAGAAGAAAGCCUAAAACCAACAAUGGGAAACAGAAUAACUAUCAGGGACCCUGUAGCUGAAGAUUUACCAGGAGGCCAAGCUAAGCAAAGGUGGUGAGGGGGUCAUUUGCAUUUCUGUCGUCGGUACUUUAUGAAUAUGAACACUAACAUUCUAUUAUGGCUUUCCUCAAGCUGCCAUGUGAGCUAAGCCAGCCGGCCUCAGAGUCUCAGGACUAUGCUGUUUCUGAAGGAGGUGACUGCCAUCUCCAGGGAAGCUGCCAUCUCCUCCAAGGCCAUCAGCAGGGGUGGGCUACACAGCACAAAAAUCAGGUGAUGGAGGCAUCUGAUAGACUGCCUGAUCUUCCAUUUCUUCUGCAGAGUUAGAAUGACGGCGAGGCUGAAGAGUGAAUCAGCACUCUCCUCCAUACUAUAUUCCACCCCUACUCCCCCUUC
RNAcentral lists this long non-coding RNA (564 nucleotides) under Homo sapiens (human). RNAcentral describes it as "HSALNT0053640". Lineage: Eukaryota; Metazoa; Chordata; Mammalia; Primates; Hominidae. The record is from RNAcentral.